GAGCGGCCCGCGGCGGGUGGCACCCCAGGAGCGCAGGAUUCUCUUUCUUUGGCUGGCGGUGUGCCCACAGGGGAAGAUGAGAGUGGGUGAAGCCAGAGAACCUGGGAAAGGAUGGCAGAUUGGGGAGACAGUGCUACCUUUCUUCCCCUAGUUUAAUGCCCUUGAACACACCCACUACAGGAAGGAGAUGCCUGCUGAGGAUCUGGGAAGUGAAUAUCUCCCAAAUUAAAAAGUGAAUCCUAACAGCCAUCAGGGCACCCUGGGGUCCCCCUACCAGAGCACACCUGGAAUGUAACCCUUGAAGUUCCUUUAAAAUCCUUCUGUUCCUUCUGAUUUGGAGAGUCGCAGACUUUGGGACAGGAGUCCCCUGUGUUUCUCCUUUGCUAGCAAAGCAAUAAACCUUCUUUUUUCCUUUUUCUCAAAA
Molecule: long non-coding RNA, 424 nt
Organism: Marmota monax (woodchuck)
Lineage: Eukaryota; Metazoa; Chordata; Mammalia; Rodentia; Sciuridae
Exons: 2
Source: RefSeq, a predicted model, not a curated record